RNAcentral lists this long non-coding RNA (589 nucleotides) under Phoenix dactylifera (date palm). RNAcentral's name for it is "long non-coding RNA (PDAC_LNC010544)". Lineage: Eukaryota; Viridiplantae; Streptophyta; Magnoliopsida; Arecales; Arecaceae. The record is from RNAcentral.
GAUUUUUAUGAUCAAGUUAAGCAUGACAUGUUACAAUUAAUCAGUAGAAUUUGAGAUAAUUUUAGAGAAAGAUAUUAAUCAUGAAUACAAUGAUUAUGCUCAAUGAAGUUUUAACAUGAAGGCAUGAAAUCAGCAUCAAACAUUUAUACUAGAGAGAAAAUUUAGAUUUUGAAAACUCGAAGGAGAAAGUUAUACAUAUUCAUUCAUUGUUUUCUUAUCAUCAUGCAAGCACUAGAAAAUUUCAUGCUAAGAUCGUUUAGAUAAGAUUUAUCAUAUAUACAAGGCAUUUAGUAAAUAUUCAGUAGCCUAACUGAAUUUACAAAGUUAAGCAUAUCAAGACAUGAAAUGACAAUUUAAAUUACAUUCACAAAUGAUGAAAUAAAAUUUAUUUAUAAGUCACGUGCCAUGGCACCCAAUUAAGAGUUUCACAUGAGUUUCAAGGGCUGCUUUGACACAUUUGCAAGAUAAUCUCAGUUUUUAUUUUAGGUACCCAAGCUUGCUUGGGUCUUUGGGAGUUAGUGCAUAUGGUUCCUUUUGGAACCCAAAUCUGUUUAAUUAUAAUAAUUUUACCAUUUGAUUUGCUUGUAUU